Molecule: ribosomal RNA, 705 nt
Filed under: Marinobacter lipolyticus
Lineage: Bacteria; Pseudomonadati; Pseudomonadota; Gammaproteobacteria; Pseudomonadales; Marinobacteraceae
Description: bacterial SSU rRNA
Rfam family: Bacterial small subunit ribosomal RNA
Source: RNAcentral
UGCAGUCGAGCGGUAACAGGGGGAGCUUGCUCCCCGCUGACGAGCGGCGGACGGGUGAGUAAUGCUUAGGAAUCUGCCCAGUAGAGGGGGAUAGCCCGGGGAAACCCGGAUUAAUACCGCAUACGCCCUACGGGGGAAAGCAGGGGAUCUUCGGACCUUGCGCUAUUGGAUGAGCCUAAGUCGGAUUAGCUAGUUGGUGGGGUAAAGGCCUACCAAGGCGACGAUCCGUAGCUGGUCUGAGAGGAUGAUCAGCCACAUCGGGACUGAGACACGGCCCGAACUCCUACGGGAGGCAGCAGUGGGGAAUAUUGGACAAUGGGGGCAACCCUGAUCCAGCCAUGCCGCGUGUGUGAAGAAGGCUUUCGGGUUGUAAAGCACUUUCAGUGAGGAGGAAGGCUCAAAGGUUAAUACCCUUUGGGAUUGACGUUACUCACAGAAGAAGCACCGGCUAACUCCGUGCCAGCAGCCGCGGUAAUACGGAGGGUGCAAGCGUUAAUCGGAAUUACUGGGCGUAAAGCGCGCGUAGGUGGUUUGAUAAGCGAGAUGUGAAAGCCCCGGGCUUAACCUGGGAACGGCAUUUCGAACUGUCAGGCUAGAGUGUGGUAGAGGGUAGUGGAAUUUCCUGUGUAGCGGUGAAAUGCGUAGAUAUAGGAAGGAACACCAGUGGCGAAGGCGGCUACCUGGACCAACACUGACACUGAGGUG